Anthonomus grandis grandis is the source of this 1250-nucleotide long non-coding RNA. RefSeq lists it as uncharacterized. The transcript has 2 exons. NCBI's taxonomy places the organism in Eukaryota, Metazoa, Arthropoda, Insecta, Coleoptera, Curculionidae. The record is from RefSeq and is a predicted model, not a curated record.
UACCCGUUGCCAUUUGAGUCUCUUAGCACACUAAAAAUUUUAAUUAUAAUUAAUUAAGAUAAUAAUAAUUUUAUUAAAAGUCAUGAGUUCAUCAGAACACCACAAUAGUAACACCAAGCAGAGCCAAAUCGAAAAAGAGUUAACUCUCAUAAAUUUGGGUCAUGAGGAUUAUGGAGAGGCGAGAGAGUGCAGGAAUAUUCUUGAAGAGUGUCUUGUGUACGACAGUAUGUUACAGGAAAUGGAAAUAGAAGUCUUAAUAUUAAAAUAUAAAAUAACAAAUACUAUUGUCAAGUUUGAUAUGACCAGAAUGGCUAUGGAAAAGUUUAAUUAUUAGUAUAAUCUUUACAUAUAUAAAUAAAGUUAAUAAGGUGUAAAGAAAAUUUGCAUAACGUACUGAGAGAGACGCAAAUAGACAAACGAAACAAAAAAGUCCACAAUUUAAAUGCCCUCAAAGAACACAUUUACCACCGCGAAAUUAUUUUGUUUUGUUACGGGCGGGUGGUUUCCCGCGGCAUUUCAAAGCGCGAUCUGUCACAGUCGAGGGGGUUACCCGACUGUGACACCGUCUCAUCACAUGUGUGGAUGCCUAUUCCACUUAAGUGUCCCUUGAUUUAUUUGUCUGUUUAUUUUGGUACUCUUUUAGAAAUGAUGAAAAUAGGGGCAAAUUAAUAGGAUAUUGAUUGAGUUAUUCCUAAGGGAAAAUAAGGAGCUACUACAGUGGGGAUUUAUUGUUGAGCCAGAUUGACCAAAAAAGAAGAGAGUUUCUCCUUGAAUGAAUGACUUGUAAGGCAAUGGGUAGCCAAAGGGGCUAUCAUGCAUACCUAGAGGUCUCGUAACACGGAUCCGUUGUGCCCCAUCGAGGGUUAACAGAGGCCAAUAAUCUUGGAAAAUAUAAUGAAGCUCUGGUUUGAAAAGCUUAAUGUCGCUGGAUAAACUGUAGGUGUAACCCAGGCACUCCUCGAUAAUAACGUGGUCUACAGUCACUAGCGGAAUUUCGCGUCUUUUUAAGUGCAGUGGUUGUCUGGUGAGACAGGCAGAUCAUUAAAAAAAACUAGAAGGAAAUUCUUACAAAAUCAUGAGAAGUUAGAGACAAUUUGGAUUUUUUACCUUUGGUUUCUUGGUUUGAUAUUCUGUUCGGAAUAUGCUUAGCCUAUAGCUAAUCCUGUAGUGUUAUAGCGUAAAAAGAUCUAAAGAGAAGAUUAAUAGUGUGUAAUAUUACUAAAGUGAAUAAAAAAUAAUUUUUUAAAUUA